UUAUAUGCCAACCCCAGGCUUACAAUAGGAAUAGAAGGUAAAAGGUGGGACCUGGCUGGCAGCCUCUGGAGUCGGCCAAGGGGCCCACCAUCUGGAUAAGUCUUGUCGUAACUGGGGGCCUCCGGCUGCUGGGUCCCGCCUGGAGCCGGGGCCCACCGACCGAGCCUCACCAUUGGUGUGUGCUUGUUACGAUGUGGCGUGUGCCGUGUUAGGCGCAUUGCCUUGCACAGUCGACUUCGGUCAUCGUACUACCGGUUGCACUCUUGCCCACACCGGGGCAUGUAAUAAAGUGGAUGGGGCGUGCUCAUCACUGUGGUGUCUCGGCUAGUCGUAGUUGGCAAUGGUGAGUGAUACGUCCCCUCCAGAGUAGUCUUCGCG
RNAcentral lists this long non-coding RNA (378 nucleotides) under Hordeum vulgare. RNAcentral's name for it is "long non-coding RNA (HVUL_LNC004759)". The record is from RNAcentral. Lineage: Eukaryota; Viridiplantae; Streptophyta; Magnoliopsida; Poales; Poaceae.